Sitophilus oryzae (rice weevil) is the source of this 465-nucleotide long non-coding RNA. RefSeq lists it as uncharacterized. The record is from RefSeq and is a predicted model, not a curated record. NCBI's taxonomy places the organism in Eukaryota, Metazoa, Arthropoda, Insecta, Coleoptera, Curculionidae. The transcript is spliced from 3 exons.
GUCGCUACACAAUGGAAAUAAGAUUAUGAAAAUAUGAUGACAAUGAAAAGUUGGUUUCCAUAACAAUGUAUAAUUUGUACUUUCUAAACCGUAGGGAGUUGUGAUUAUUUUGGAAAUACGUGCAACGUUUAAUGCACGUGGCGCAAAGGAAGGUCCUCGGAAAAGAUAAAGCUAUUAAACGUUUCAUACGUGCAAUAAGGAAGGUUUGAAAAUGUCGUGAUGAUGGAGAUCGUUUUUAAUGCUAAUCGUAUGGCGUGUAUGCAUCCGCCAGAUACGUCUAUUAUAAAUCGUUGACGUUCUACUAAAAUUACACUAUAUGAAGUCAAACUUCAAACUAAUAAUUACUACCUGAUAAAGUAGUGGAAAAAAAAUUCUAGUUGCGAAAAACCCAGAAAAUUGUUCAAGACAUGAAUCCGCCACAAAGGUAUAAGCAUUUAAAUUAAUGUUUGUUAUUCUCUAUUAGUU